AGUGCAGAACUGCUGUGCCAAGGUGUGGGGCCAAGGAUCUAGCAGAGAUCCACCUCUGCCUCUUCUCACCAAGUUCCUCUGCAAGUUCAGGCCUAACCACGUGGGGAAGCACCUGUGAUCCUCUUGGGCGAAUUUGUCUGCGAUCAACAUACCACAACACCAAUCAGUCCUGUGGCACAAAUGGAAGUAAAUUAUUACCUUGCUCACCGUACAGAAAGUAAGGAACUGAACUUCAUGACUGCAGGAAGAACUCAUCUGCGCCAGCCAAGGAUGUGAGUGGCAAAGGCAACCCCACAGCCACCUUCCCUGGGAGGAAGAGCAGGUGCUGGGCCCAUAGCCACCGCCACCAGUGUAACUCCUUUCACCUUCUCAAGGACUGAGAGUAGCAUCAGCCUUCUGCACCAAGAAGCCUUCUUGGGGGUGUCUCAACCAACACCAGCAGAGAAGGAAGCAAGACAACAGUGCAGAACACAUGCUUUAUGCCUUGCCAUUUGUCAAACAUCACUCGUGCUAAUGAAAUUGCAAUUCAUUCUGAGUAGGGAUAGGAUCAGUAAGUAAACUUACAGUAAAAAUCAGUUUAAAUAUUUAGUUACUUUGGCUAUUGAAAUAAGAACUCUGAACAAUUAGGGAGUCUAUGUCAUAAUCUUGUGGGGGAAAAUACUCAGUCUCCGGAAUACAUGGGUGUUCUGGGCUGCUGUGAAAUAAAUACAACUUUGCUCUAACAUUGUAACUAAACAGUUUAUGAAAAAUAACAGAAUAAAACAUAUUAAAAACCC
Long non-coding RNA from Gallus gallus (chicken), 776 nucleotides. NCBI's taxonomy places the organism in Eukaryota, Metazoa, Chordata, Aves, Galliformes, Phasianidae. The record is from Ensembl.